RNAcentral lists this non-coding RNA (100 nucleotides) under Neobacillus vireti. RNAcentral's name for it is "Bacillus vireti Guanine sequence". It matches the Rfam family "Purine riboswitch aptamer". Rfam says of the family: Riboswitches are metabolite binding domains within certain messenger RNAs that serve as precision sensors for their corresponding targets. Allosteric rearrangement of mRNA structure is mediated by ligand binding, and this results in modulation of gene expression. Lineage: Bacteria; Bacillati; Bacillota; Bacilli; Caryophanales; Bacillaceae. The record is from RNAcentral. RNAcentral also lists the same sequence under 1 other name.
ACUAUUAAACUAUAUAGUACCUGUAUAACCUCAAGAAUAUGGCUUGAGGGUCUCUACCAGGAACCAUAAAAUCCUGAUUACAGAAAAUGAAUUUAUUCGU